GUGAGGAAUUUUCCGCAAUGGGCGAAAGCCUGACGGAGCAAUGCCGCGUGAAGGAUGAAGGCCUAUGGGUUGUAAACUUCUUUUCUCAGAAAAGAAUUAUGACGGUAUCUGAGGAAUAAGCAUCGGCUAACUCUGUGCCAGCAGCCGCGGUAAGACAGAGGAUGCAAGCGUUAUCCGGAAUGAUUGGGCGUAAAGCGUCUGUAGGUUGUUUAAAAAGUAUUCUGUCAAAGAUUAGGGCUUAACCCUAGAUAGGCAGAAUAAACUUUUAAGCUAGAGUUUGGUAGAGGCAGAGGUAAUUCCCGGUGGAGCGGUGAAAUGCGUAGAUAUCGGGAGGAACACCAAAGGCGAAGGCACUCUGCUGGGCCAAUACUAACACUGAGAGACGAAAGCGAGGGGAGCAAAUGGGAUUAGAAACCCCGGUAGUCC
This 426-nucleotide ribosomal RNA is filed under the name uncultured bacterium. RNAcentral describes it as "partial 16S ribosomal RNA". It matches the Rfam family "Bacterial small subunit ribosomal RNA", at positions 354 to 796 of the family's 1533-position model. The record is from RNAcentral.